Chlorocebus sabaeus (green monkey) is the source of this 674-nucleotide long non-coding RNA. RefSeq lists it as uncharacterized. The record is from RefSeq and is a predicted model, not a curated record. NCBI's taxonomy places the organism in Eukaryota, Metazoa, Chordata, Mammalia, Primates, Cercopithecidae.
UAGGACCUUAACCUUUAACUUUUCCUGACAGGACAAAAAACAUGUGUUCACAACGCCCACCCUUAUUGAUUCUCUUGGUAAGGAAGAAGAGAGGAUCAUAAACUAGAAGUGAAAAAGUGGAGAAAAAUGAUGCUUGCCUCACUCUGCUGUAACAAAUGAAUAGACAGGUUCCGGCCCUGUCAUGCAGGCUUGAGGACAGUGGCAUGAUCAUAACUCCCUGCAGCCUUGGCCUCCUGGGCUCAAGUGAUCCUCCUGCCUCGGCCUCCCAAAGUGUUGGGAUUACAGGGACCUAGUUCUGCUCCCAUGUGACUCACUGGAGGUGGCAAGAUUGUUGAUGGAGGCAGCGUUGUGGAGGACUGUGUGGAGACUCUUAAUGAAAGAUCCUCAGCUCAGACUUACCACAGAGAGAACAGAAGCAACUGCAUUCAAAUGGACCAUGGGGCUUGGACAAUGUGCACUUUGGUGACGACUGAAAUUUCCAGUUAGGGUACACCUUCUCCUUGGCCAUCUCCACUGUUGUAUCAUUUUUGGGAGGAAAAUGAGCUCUUAAACAUUACUGAAAUGCAGUUUCCCAUGACUGAGGGUGGAGACUUAAGCAUACCUAUCUUAUUUCUUAAAAUAAAGAAAUGUAACUCUGAGGGUCAAGGAACUUCUUUUAUUUACAUACCUUUUAA